CUUUAAUUACUUAUUCUCUUUAAAGGUUGAUAUAUCCAGAUAUUUAUACACCCUUGACUUUCAAUAUUUUGAGUUUUUAGUGUUUUAAGGAGCAUUAUGCAUAACCUAUAAUAUAUAAACAAUCAUUAAUGAAAGUGAAAAAGUGAAAUUAUAAUUUGCUUAGGCAGCCAGUUUGGUUCAAUUUUGUCCAAAUCAGCUAUAAAGAAACAUCCCUGAUGAAUUAUCCACUUGCACUCAUUGAUUCUGUAUUCAUGUAACUUUCAAUGAACCCCAUAGCUAGAGAUAGGUUAUACUCAUGAUUAUUUGUGUUCAGUUAUUAAAAGGAAAAGAAUAUCAAUAUUGAAAAUAAAGCAAGGGUAAACCAUUUUAAUUGACUAAAACCACAAAAAAACUCAUUUUUAUACCGAUAACAACUGAUUAAUUUAUAUAUAACUUCUAUUUUUAACCUUUGAUAUAAAAUCAAAAUCCAAUUGCAUGAGUUUGCUAUCUAUUGAUAUUUAAGUUUUAUUGGGUUUUAUUGGAGUCUUCGGAGGUCACCUCAAUAGAUUGUGUCUAGACUUUUAAAAUAGACAUGAAAUUCUGAUACAAAUUAUUAAGCUUAUGCAAAUUAUUCAUUUUAGACUUUUUAUAAUUUUGAUAAACGUUUUAGUAUGCUAUAAAGGCAUAUCAGUGACCAUGAAUUUUACAGCUUAGGAAAUGAGUGAGUAAAAUGUGAAAAAAAUCUGAAAAAUUAAUUUAUAUAACUGAAGCAAACCCCAAAACUUUACCAAACAUUGCUAUUGAGUUUGAAAUUUGUUUCAGAAUAUCACUAAUGAACUUUGUUGAUGUCAUAUAUCAUAUGAAACUAUACUAGAAAACACCUGUGACUGAAUUAAAGUAUAUAACUAUGCGUAAGCCUUAUUUUAGUAUUGGGAUUGUCAUGCCGAUUAUAAGACGCACAGUUUUCUCUGCUUUCAAAAUCUUUCUGUUUGAACCCGUCGACCUGGAACUUAUCAAUUAUUGGUAAUUUUAAUUUUUGGAAAACAAAAGGUCCUGGAAUGGAGUAUUCUUUAAUCAACAGCAUUGUCCUAUAUAAGUUAUAAAUAAAUUUGAAUUCUUUGAUUUGCUGUUUUACGUCAUGCCCGCUAACAAAUUGAAAACUGUACCUAUACACCUUAUUUUAAGUCCAGAAUUUUAGCAUUCCGAUUUGGUAUUGUCAUCUUAGAACGUCUUACUGAUUAAAAUACUACAAUAGAGAACAAUUUGACAAUGAUUGAAUUUAGUGUCAACCCUGUGAUUAUGACCCGUGUAUAUAGCAAAAUCCGAAAUACACUGUUUGGUGGUGCGCCUGUCAGAUGCGGAACGUACAGAUAAGGUAAUAGGUAACAGGUGAAUAUACUAUUGGUAUCAGUAUCGGAUUUGGUCCGGAACUUGUUAAUUAUUGGCAAUAUUAAUUAUGUGGAAAACAAAAGGAUCUGGAGUGGUGUAAUUUUUAAUCAACACCAUUGUCCUAUAUUGGCUAUAUAUAAAAUUGAAUUCUUUGAUUUGUCGUUUUUACCCGAUGACGGCUGACAAAUUGGACCUCGUUAUUUUAGUAUUAUAGAUGUUUAUUAAGAAUUUAAAAACAAAAUCUUAAAUUUUUAACAAAUUCUCCUCUGCCUGAAAUAAAUUUUUAUGCAUUAAGGGCUACAUUUAUAGUUUGAAUCCAGAAAAAAGAAUUUGAAAACAUUUAAGUUAGUUUGAUAUAAAAAUACAGUAAUUUAAGGUGGUACCUAACACUACAGGGAGAUAACUCUGUAAAAUCAGCUAAACGUUUUAAUUACGUUAUGUUGUUAAAGGAAUAUUAAGCUUCUAAAUGAUCAAAAUUAGUAUUUGUCAAACUGCUAUAUAACCAGUGUAAUAUUUCUGAAAAAACGGUUGGUUCAAAUUAUUUGAAAUUUUUAUAUUUUUGUUGAAGGGACAAAGUAUAUACUUUGUCAAAAUUUUAUGAAAUUUAAACGAGCCAAAUUAAUUUUAGUGAAAGUGUUGGGUACCACCUUAACUACAUACAUACUUUCUUAUGUAUCUUUUAGAAUUUAUCCAAUAUUAUGGAAAAGGACAUAUUCAAGCUUACUUUGUUAAUUAUACAUAUGUAUCAAGAAGUUCAUUGAAUAAAGU
RNAcentral lists this long non-coding RNA (2136 nucleotides) under Mytilus galloprovincialis (Mediterranean mussel). The record is from RNAcentral. Lineage: Eukaryota; Metazoa; Mollusca; Bivalvia; Mytilida; Mytilidae.